RNAcentral lists this non-coding RNA (45 nucleotides) under Schistosoma bovis. Lineage: Eukaryota; Metazoa; Platyhelminthes; Trematoda; Strigeidida; Schistosomatidae. The record is from RNAcentral. RNAcentral also lists the same sequence under 1 other name.
AUCUAGCUGAGGAACCCCAGAUAGGAUGAAACACAGGUCCUGGAU